GAUGAACGCUGGCGGCGUGCCUAAUACAUGCAAGUCGAGCGAACGGACGAGAAGCUUGCUUCUCUGAUGUUAGCGGCGGACGGGUGAGUAACACGUGGAUAACCUACCUAUAAGACUGGGAUAACUUCGGGAAACCGGAGCUAAUACCGGAUAAUAUUUUGAACCGCAUGGUUCAAAAGUGAAAGACGGUCCUGCUGUCACUUAUAGAUGGAUCCGCGCUGCAUUAGCUAGUUGGUAAGGUAACGGCUUACCAAGGCAACGAUGCAUAGCCGACCUGAGAGGGUGAUCGGCCACACUGGAACUGAGACACGGUCCAGACUCCUACGGGAGGCAGCAGUAGGGAAUCUUCCGCAAUGGGCGAAAGCCUGACGGAGCAACGCCGCGUGAGUGAAGAAGGUCUUCGGAUCGUAAAACUCUGUUAUUAGGGAAGAACAUAUGUGUAAGUAACUGUGCACAUCUUGACGGUACCUAAUCAGAAAGCCACGGCUAACUACGUG
Molecule: ribosomal RNA, 497 nt
Filed under: uncultured bacterium
Lineage: Bacteria
Description: partial 16S ribosomal RNA
Rfam family: Bacterial small subunit ribosomal RNA
Source: RNAcentral